CAGAAUCAGGAUCCUCUUUUGACGACCUCGACCCCGACCCCGACUAUGACGACGACGACCCUGACCCCGAUUCCGAAGACGACCCCGACCCCCACUCCGAUGAUGACCUCAACCUCGAAUUUGUCUAUGAUUCAGACCCCGAUCCCGAUUUCGACUCCGACUUCGGCCCCGACUCAGGCUCAGAUUCCGAUCCAAAUUCCUACUCAACCUGUAUCCUAUGCUUCUUCCGCUGCACAGAUUGUGACUUCUAGACUAACGACCCCGAC
This 266-nucleotide long non-coding RNA is filed under the name Prunus persica (peach). RNAcentral describes it as "long non-coding RNA (PPER_LNC001087)". Lineage: Eukaryota; Viridiplantae; Streptophyta; Magnoliopsida; Rosales; Rosaceae. The record is from RNAcentral.